Molecule: ribosomal RNA, 162 nt
Filed under: Teratosphaeria alcornii
Lineage: Eukaryota; Fungi; Ascomycota; Dothideomycetes; Mycosphaerellales; Teratosphaeriaceae
Description: 5.8S ribosomal RNA
Rfam family: 5.8S ribosomal RNA (bases 1-91)
About the family: 5.8S ribosomal RNA (5.8S rRNA) is a component of the large subunit of the eukaryotic ribosome. It is transcribed by RNA polymerase I as part of the 45S precursor that also contains 18S and 28S rRNA.
Source: RNAcentral
AAUGUGAAUUGCAGAAUUCAGUGAAUCAUCGAAUCUUUGAACGCAUAUUGCGCCCUCUGGCAUUCCGGAGGGCAUGCCUGUUCGAGCGUCAUUUCACCACUCCAGCCCCGCUGGGUCUUGGGCGCUGCGGCCUGCCCGCGCGCCUCAAAGUCUCCGGCCGAG